GGCAGGGGUCCUCAACCUCCCUCACUACUCCAUUUGCAUUCCUCCUAAAGCAAUGUGCUCUACCAAAGAGGACAAGCUUCCCCAAUGGAGGAGGAUAGUUCUUUGCUCAAAGGUAGAAGAGUAGCUGUUCCCCUGCUAAAACCUCCAGACUCUCAAAGAACUCUUUAAGAUUCAACAGAAAGAAAAUGAACAACCCAAUUACAAAAAUGAGUAAAGGACCUGAACAGACACCUU
Molecule: small RNA, 234 nt
Filed under: Marmota marmota marmota (Alpine marmot)
Lineage: Eukaryota; Metazoa; Chordata; Mammalia; Rodentia; Sciuridae
Description: 7SK RNA (ENSMMMG00000015115.1)
Rfam family: 7SK RNA
About the family: 7SK was discovered as an abundant small nuclear RNA in the mid-70s but a possible function has only recently been suggested. Two independent studies have found that 7SK RNA binds the CDK9/cyclin T complex (known as elongation factor P-TEFb).
Source: RNAcentral